GCACGGGAGCAAUCCUGGUGGCGAGUGGCGAACGGGUGAGUAAUGUAUCGGAACGUGCCCAGUCGUGGGGGAUAACGCAGCGAAAGCUGUGCUAAUACCGCAUACGAUCUAUGGAUGAAAGCGGGGGAUCGCAAGACCUCGCGCGAUUGGAGUGGCCGAUAUCAGAUUAGCUAGUUGGUGGGGUAAAGGCUCACCAAGGCGACGAUCUGUAGCUGGUCUGAGAGGACGACCAGCCACACUGGAACUGAGACACGGUCCAGACUCCUACGGGAGGCAGCAGUGGGGAAUUUUGGACAAUGGGCGCAAGCCUGAUCCAGCAAUGCCGCGUGCAGGAUGAAGGCCUUCGGGUUGUAAACUGCUUUUGUACGGAGCGAAAAGGCUCUCUCUAAUACAGGGGGCUCAUGACGGUACCGUAAGAAUAAGCACCGGCUAACUACGUGCCAGCAGCCGCGGUAAUACGUAGGGUGCGAGCGUUAAUCGGAAUUACUGGGCGUAAAGCGUGCGCAGGCGGUUAUGUAAGACAGAUGUGAAAUCCCCGGGCUCAACCUGGGACCUGCAUUUGUGACUGCAUGGCUGGAGUACGGCAGAGGGGGAUGGAAUUCCGCGUGUAGCAGUGAAAUGCGUAGAUAUGCGGAGGAACACCGAUGGCGAAGGCAAUCCCCUGGGCCUGUACUGACGCUCAUGCACGAAAGCGUGGGGAGCAAACAGGAUUAGAUACCCUGGUAGUCCACGCCCUAAACGAU
This 743-nucleotide ribosomal RNA is filed under the name uncultured bacterium. RNAcentral's name for it is "bacterial SSU rRNA". It matches the Rfam family "Bacterial small subunit ribosomal RNA", at positions 71 to 810 of the family's 1533-position model. The record is from RNAcentral.